This 85-nucleotide transfer RNA is filed under the name Rubellimicrobium sp. RNAcentral describes it as "tRNA-Leu". It matches the Rfam family "tRNA". Rfam says of the family: Transfer RNA (tRNA) molecules are approximately 80 nucleotides in length. Their secondary structure includes four short double-helical elements and three loops (D, anti-codon, and T loops). The record is from RNAcentral. Lineage: Bacteria; Pseudomonadati; Pseudomonadota; Alphaproteobacteria; Rhodobacterales; Roseobacteraceae.
GCGGGUGUGGCGGAACUGGUAGACGCAGCAGGUUUAGGUCCUGCCGCCGCAAGGCGUGGGGGUUCAAGUCCCUUCACCCGCACCA